RNAcentral lists this ribosomal RNA (882 nucleotides) under bacterium GUDS1220. RNAcentral's name for it is "bacterial SSU rRNA". It matches the Rfam family "Bacterial small subunit ribosomal RNA", at positions 82 to 965 of the family's 1533-position model. The record is from RNAcentral.
CUUUGCUCGACGAGUGGCGGACGGGUGAGUAAUGCUUAGGGAUCUGCCCAGAGGUGGGGGACAACAGUUGGAAACGACUGCUAAUACCGCAUGAUGCCUACGGGCCAAAGGGGGCUUCGGCUCUCGCCUUUGGAGGAACCUAAGUGAGAUUAGCUAGUUGGUGAGGUAAUGGCUCACCAAGGCGACGAUCUCUAGCUGGUCUGAGAGGAUGAUCAGCCACACUGGAACUGAGACACGGUCCAGACUCCUACGGGAGGCAGCAGUGGGGAAUAUUGCACAAUGGGGGAAACCCUGAUGCAGCCAUGCCGCGUGUGUGAAGAAGGCCUUCGGGUUGUAAAGCACUUUCAGUAGCGAGGAAAAGUUAUUGGUUAAUACCCAAUAGCCUUGACGUUAACUACAGAAGAAGCACCGGCUAACUCCGUGCCAGCAGCCGCGGUAAUACGGAGGGUGCGAGCGUUAAUCGGAAUUACUGGGCGUAAAGCGCAUGCAGGCGGUCUGUUAAGCCAGAUGUGAAAGCCCGGGGCUCAACCCCGGAAUAGCAUUUGGAACUGGCAGACUAGAGUUUUGUAGAGGGGGGUAGAAUUUCAGGUGUAGCGGUGAAAUGCGUAGAGAUCUGAAGGAAUACCAGUGGCGAAGGCGGCCCCCUGGACAAAAACUGACGCUCAGAUGCGAAAGCGUGGGUAGCAAACAGGAUUAGAUACCCUGGUAGUCCACGCCGUAAACGAUGUCAACUAGUUGCUUGUAGCUUUUACGCUGUGGGUGACGGAGCUAACGCAUUAAGUUGACCGCCUGGGGAGUACGGCCGCAAGGUUAAAACUCAAAUGAAUUGACGGGGGCCCGCACAAGCGGUGGAGCAUGUGGUUUAAUUCGAUGCAACGCGAA